GAUGAAGAACGCAGCGAAAUGCGAUAAGUAGUGUGAAUUGCAGAAUUCAGUGAAUCAUCGAAUCUUUGAACGCACAUUGCGCCUCCUGGCAUUCCGGGAGGCAUGCCUGUUCGAGCGUCAUCAAACCCCAUCGUGCAAAUGAAUUAUUUUUUUUGCGCGGAAGUGACGAUUGAGCGAGAAUAACAAAUCCUCUCGCACCUCGUCGUAAUGAUUGCGGGCGGAAUUUGGGAUCGGGUUCCUCGGCGUAGUGUAUCAAUGCAUAUUUAUGCAACUUGCCGCGGAGUUGAGCCUGACCCACGCGUUCUCGCCGUACAAACACCUCAUUACUUUACAAGUUUUUGACCUCGGAUCAGGUAGGGAUACCCGCUGAACUUAAGCAUAUCAAUAAGCGGAGGA
Molecule: unclassified non-coding RNA, 396 nt
Filed under: soil metagenome
Description: partial contains 5.8S ribosomal RNA, internal transcribed spacer 2, and large subunit ribosomal RNA
Rfam family: 5.8S ribosomal RNA (bases 1-120)
Source: RNAcentral